Long non-coding RNA from Oryzias melastigma (Indian medaka), 1399 nucleotides. RefSeq lists it as uncharacterized. The transcript has 3 exons. The record is from RefSeq and is a predicted model, not a curated record. NCBI's taxonomy places the organism in Eukaryota, Metazoa, Chordata, Actinopteri, Beloniformes, Adrianichthyidae.
CAUCGAGUCACGCCGACCGACCGACCGCCCCGCGGUUGUUAUAGCAAUGGGAGGAGUGGGAGGCUGCGGCUCCCGCCUUUCUAUCUGACAGCAGCGGAGGCUAAAGACAAUAUGGCUCCUUCCCAGAUGCUCAAACACCUGAGAUGAGGGUCAACAUCACUAAUCAAACAUUGCAACAGGCCAGCUGCUUCUCAAACCUUGGAGCCACAAAAGACCAGGGCCCCAUGUUCUGAGGCUCCUCCUGACUCCAGAUGAACUCUGAGGAAUCAGAGAACUCAACUUUACCAAAAAAAAAAAAAACUGUCCGGAGGUUACUUUAAAGUAUUGUAUAGUUAUUCAGCAGAACAUUCAAAUAUCGGAUUUAAAUGAAUGUGAAACUGUUGUCCUUUCACAGAAAAAGUCGAAGUGAAACCGAGUAGAGACAGAAGCAAGAGACACAAACAAAAAGAAUUAAAAUAAAUUAUAUAUUAUAUGAUCAGUAGUUUGAUCAUCACUCACAGAUAACACCCAGAGACAAGAAAAAACACCCCAGAAUUUACAGGAGGUAAAGGCCGGGUCACACUGCCGCUGCGUACAAUUUUUUGCUGAGAAUUAAGCAGUUUAUGUGCAUUUUACGUAGUUAAAACACAAUUAUGACAUAAAUCUUUUGACAUAAAUUUUUGCGAGAUCUGUUCCACAUAUGUCCACGUACACACAUGAACCACCAAUGUAUAGCUUAUUUUGUGUAUAUGGUGCACAUAUUGCAUUAUAAUUACAAUAAUUAUAAUUACAAAUAUGUGCAAAUUGUAGGUAGCAGCAGUGACACCGCUGUAAAAGGCAUUUUAAUAGCCGUUUAAGAGUAAUUCAGAAACUCGUGAAAAUGUCUACAUUAGUGACACUUGAUUAUAAUACAGACUCCUACAAUUGAAACUUUUAUUAAUAAAUUAUCUAAAUUAAUUUUCCUGACCGGCUCAGCGGAGAGCAGAGAAGUCUGCAUGUUUGAUCAGCACUCUUCUCCCUCUGUGGUCGUUCUCAGAACUCGACGCUCUUCUGUUUGCCGAGUGUCUGUUUUGUGAGCACAAACAUGAACUAAAAGCGACCCACAAGAACACUUCUAUCUGGACCAGCACUCUGGCUCUGAGAACGAUAUAAGCUAGUGAUGUGUUGAUUCAAAAAAUAAAGCACAGAAAUCUAAAAUCUUUUGAGAUAUUUAAAAAAAGGACCAAAGAUUCUCUGUAAAAAGACCUUCUAGUUGUGUUUUCUCAGAUUCCCUGUCUUCUUUUGAGUUCAGUUGUUUAAUCCAAUUGACUAAAGUAGGGAUGUCCCUGUUGAAUUGUGAGUCAUUUGAUUUUAUGUAUUUGCCGAUACAGAGUCCCAAUCUGAUACUUUUGUAACACAUUAAAAGCAUGAACAAAUUGAA